This 515-nucleotide ribosomal RNA is filed under the name uncultured bacterium. Its description in RNAcentral is "bacterial SSU rRNA". It matches the Rfam family "Bacterial small subunit ribosomal RNA", at positions 33 to 518 of the family's 1533-position model. The record is from RNAcentral.
ACACGCUGGCGGCGUGCCUAAUACAUGCAAGUCGAACGGUCUUUUCUAUGGAAGCUUGCUUCCACUGAGAAGAUAGUGGCGAACGGGUGAGUAACACGUGGGUAACCUGCCCAUAAGAGGGGGAUAACAUCCGGAAACGGGUGCUAAUACCGCAUAGUUUUCUUGAUCGCAUGAUUGAGAAAGGAAAGACGGCCUUUGUGCUGUCGCUUAUGGAUGGACCCGCGGCGUAUUAGUUAGUUGGUGAGGUAAUGGCUCACCAAGACGAUGAUACGUAGCCGACCUGAGAGGGUGAUCGGCCACAUUGGGACUGAGACACGGCCCAAACUCCUACGGGAGGCAGCAGUAGGGAAUCUUCCGCAAUGGACGAAAGUCUGACGGAGCAACGCCGCGUGAGUGAAGAAAGGUUUUCGGAUCGUAAAACUCUGUUGUCAGAGAAGAACAAGUUGGAGAGUAACUGCUCCAGCCUUGACGGUAUCUGACCAGAAAGCCACGGCUAACUACGUGCCAGCCGCUGC